RNAcentral lists this transfer RNA (85 nucleotides) under Felis catus (domestic cat). It matches the Rfam family "tRNA". From Rfam's summary of the family: Transfer RNA (tRNA) molecules are approximately 80 nucleotides in length. Their secondary structure includes four short double-helical elements and three loops (D, anti-codon, and T loops). RNAcentral also lists the same sequence under 1 other name. The record is from Rfam by way of RNAcentral. Lineage: Eukaryota; Metazoa; Chordata; Mammalia; Carnivora; Felidae.
GCCUGGGUGGCUCAGUCGGUUAAGCACCCAACUUCAGCUCAGGUCAUGAUUUCGUGGUUCGUGGGUUCGAGCCCCACACUGGGCU